This 436-nucleotide ribosomal RNA is filed under the name uncultured bacterium. RNAcentral describes it as "bacterial SSU rRNA". It matches the Rfam family "Bacterial small subunit ribosomal RNA", at positions 28 to 511 of the family's 1533-position model. The record is from RNAcentral.
GAUGAACGCUGGCGGCGUGCUUCCCUUUUGCAAGUCAAACGAACCUUCGGGUUAGUGGCGGACGGGUGAGUAACGCGUGAAAAUCUGCCCUCAGGAGGGGGAUAACGGCUGGAAACGGCCGCUAAUACCCCAUAUGCCAAGAGGUGAAACAAAUUUCGCCUGAGGAUGAGCUCGCGUCUGAUUAGCUAGUUGGUGGGGUAAAGGCCUACCAAGGCAUCGAUCAGUAGCUGGUCUGAGAGGAUGAUCAGCCACACUGGGACUGAGACACGGCCCAAACUCCUACGGGAGGCAGCAGUGGGGAAUUUUCCGCAAUGGGCGCAAGCCUGACGGAGCAACUCCGCGUGAGGGAUGAAGGCCUCUGGGCUGUAAACCUCUUUUAUCAAGGAAAAAAAUCUGACGGUACUUGAUGAAUAACCCACGGCUAAUUCCGUGCCAC